AUCGCUUCUUGGCCUUUUGGCUAAGAUCAAGUGUAGUAUCUGUUCUUAUCAGAAGAUAAAAUUAGGGAAAAAGAGAAAUCUGAGAAAAAGAUAAAAAAAAUCCA
The sequence is a small nuclear RNA, 104 nucleotides long. Its record names the gene U2. It matches the Rfam family "U2 spliceosomal RNA". Rfam says of the family: U2 is a small nuclear RNA (snRNA) component of the spliceosome (involved in pre-mRNA splicing). Complementary binding between U2 snRNA (in an area lying towards the 5' end but 3' to hairpin I) and the branchpoint sequence (BPS) of the intron results the bulging out of an unpaired adenosine, on the BPS, which initiates a nucleophilic attack at the intronic 5' splice site, thus starting the first of two transesterification reactions that mediate splicing. The record is from Ensembl.